This 388-nucleotide ribosomal RNA is filed under the name uncultured Ruegeria sp. RNAcentral's name for it is "bacterial SSU rRNA". It matches the Rfam family "Bacterial small subunit ribosomal RNA", at positions 389 to 793 of the family's 1533-position model. The record is from RNAcentral. Lineage: Bacteria; Pseudomonadati; Pseudomonadota; Alphaproteobacteria; Rhodobacterales; Roseobacteraceae.
CAGCCAUGCCGCGUGAGUGAUGAAGGCCUUAGGGUCGUAAAGCUCUUUCGCCUGUGAAGAUAAUGACGGUAGCAGGUAAAGAAACCCCGGCUAACUCCGUGCCAGCAGCCGCGGUAAUACGGAGGGGGUUAGCGUUGUUCGGAAUUACUGGGCGUAAAGCGCACGUAGGCGGACUGGAAAGUUGGGGGUGAAAUCCCAGGGCUCAACCCUGGAACUGCCUCCAAAACUAUCAGUCUAGAGUUCGAGAGAGGUGAGUGGAAUUCCGAGUGUAGAGGUGAAAUUCGUAGAUAUUCGGAGGAACACCAGUGGCGAAGGCGGCUCACUGGCUCGAUACUGACGCUGAGGUGCGAAAGUGUGGGGAGCAAACAGGAUUAGAUACCCCUGGUAG